This 427-nucleotide ribosomal RNA is filed under the name uncultured bacterium. Its description in RNAcentral is "bacterial SSU rRNA". It matches the Rfam family "Bacterial small subunit ribosomal RNA", at positions 355 to 774 of the family's 1533-position model. The record is from RNAcentral.
UGGGGAAUUUUGGACAAUGGGCGCAGGCCUGAUCCAGCCAUUCCGCGUGCAGGACGAAGGCCUUCGGGUUGUAAACUGCUUUUGUACGGAACGAAAAGCCCUUCUCUAAUACAGAGGGGUCAUGACGGUACCGUAAGAAUAAGCACCGGCUAACUACGUGCCAGCAGCCGCGGUAAUACGUAGGGUGCAAGCGUUAAUCGGAAUUACUGGGCGUAAAGCGUGCGCAGGCGGUUUUGUAAGACAGAUGUGAAAUCCCCGGGCUCAACCUGGGAACUGCAUUUGUGACUGCAUAGCUAGAGUACGGUAGAGGGGGAUGGAAUUCCGCGUGUAGCAGUGAAAUGCGUAGAUAUGCGGAGGAACACCGAUGGCGAAGGCAGCCCACUAAGCAAUGAUUGACGCUGAGGCACGAAAGCGUGGGGAUCAAACA